Molecule: ribosomal RNA, 492 nt
Filed under: uncultured bacterium
Lineage: Bacteria
Description: bacterial SSU rRNA
Rfam family: Bacterial small subunit ribosomal RNA
Source: RNAcentral
AACGAACGCUGGCGGCGUGCCUAACACAUGCAAGUCGAACGCGAAAGUCCUUCGGGAUGAGUAAAGUGGCGCACGGGUGAGUAACACGUAGGUGACCUACCGUUUAGAGUGGAAUAACCAGAAGAAAUUUUGGCUAAUGCCGCAUACGAAGUGCAAAUUUUAAAGUAGCACUUGAAAGGAUGCCUCUGCAUAUGCAUCUACUGAACGAUGGGCCUGCGGAACAUUAGCUAGUUGGUGGGGUAAUGGCCUACCAAGGCAACGAUGUUUAUCCGGUCUGAGAGGAUGAUCGGACACACUGGAACUGAGACACGGUCCAGACUCCUACGGGAGGCAGCAGUGGGGGAAUAUUGCGCAAUGGGGGAAACCCUGACGCAGCAACGCCGCGUGAGUGAGGAAGGACUUCGGUCUGUAAAGCUCUGUUAAUGUGGAAAAAUGGCAGUUGGUCUAAUAGGCCGACUGUUUGAUGGGUUACACAUAGAGGAAGCACCGGCU